This 420-nucleotide ribosomal RNA is filed under the name bacterium. RNAcentral describes it as "partial 16S ribosomal RNA". It matches the Rfam family "Bacterial small subunit ribosomal RNA", at positions 355 to 776 of the family's 1533-position model. The record is from RNAcentral.
UGGGGGAUAUUGCACAAUGGGCGAAAGCCUGAUGCAGCGACGCCGCGUGGGGGAUGAAGGCUUUCGGGUUGUAAACCUCUUUCGCUAUCGAACAAGGCCCGCUUAGGGUGGGUUGAGGGUAGGUGGAGAAGAAGCGCCGGCUAACUACGUGCCAGCAGCCGCGGUAAUACGUAGGGCGCGAGCGUUGUCCGGAAUUAUUGGGCGUAAAGUGCUUGUAGGCGGCUUGUUGCGCCUGCUGUGAAAACGCGGGGCUUAACUUCGGGCGUGCAGUGGGUACGGGCAGGCUUGAGUGUGGUAGGGGUGACUGGAAUUCCAGGUGUAGCGGUGGAAUGCGCAGAUAUCUGGAGGAACACCGAUGGCGAAGGCAGGUCACUGGCCCAUUACUGACGCUGAGGAGCGAAAGCAUGGGUAGCGAACAGG